CAUCGCCGCGGUAAUACGUAGGUCCCGAGCGUUGUCCGGAUUUAUUGGGCGUAAAGCGAGCGCAGGCGGUUUGAUAAGUCUGAAGUUAAAGGCUGUGGCUCAACCAUAGUUCGCUUUGGAAACUGUCAAACUUGAGUGCAGAAGGGGAGAGUGGAAUUCCAUGUGUAGCGGUGAAAUGCGUAGAUAUAUGGAGGAACACCGGUGGCGAAAGCGGCUCUCUGGUCUGUAACUGACGCUGAGGCUCGAAAGCGUGGGGAGCGAACAGGAUUAGAUACCCCGGUAGUCCCUGUCUCUUAUACAC
This 301-nucleotide ribosomal RNA is filed under the name uncultured bacterium. Its description in RNAcentral is "partial 16S ribosomal RNA". It matches the Rfam family "Bacterial small subunit ribosomal RNA", at positions 512 to 809 of the family's 1533-position model. The record is from RNAcentral.